Molecule: ribosomal RNA, 1834 nt
Filed under: Salmonella enterica subsp. enterica serovar Dublin
Lineage: Bacteria; Pseudomonadati; Pseudomonadota; Gammaproteobacteria; Enterobacterales; Enterobacteriaceae
Description: bacterial LSU rRNA
Rfam family: Bacterial large subunit ribosomal RNA
Source: RNAcentral
AAGAAAGCGUAAUAGCUCACUGGUCGAGUCGGCCUGCGCGGAAGAUGUAACGGGGCUAAACCAUGCACCGAAGCUGCGGCAGCGACGCUUAUGCGUUGUUGGGUAGGGGAGCGUUCUGUAAGCCUGUGAAGGUGGCCUGUGAGGGUUGCUGGAGGUAUCAGAAGUGCGAAUGCUGACAUAAGUAACGAUAAAGCGGGUGAAAAGCCCGCUCGCCGGAAGACCAAGGGUUCCUGUCCAACGUUAAUCGGGGCAGGGUGAGUCGACCCCUAAGGCGAGGCCGAAAGGCGUAGUCGAUGGGAAACGGGUUAAUAUUCCCGUACUUGGUGUUACUGCGAAGGGGGGACGGAGAAGGCUAUGUUGGCCGGGCGACGGUUGUCCCGGUUUAAGCGUGUAGGUGUGUGUUCCAGGUAAAUCCGGUUCACUUUAACACUGAGGCGUGAUGACGAGGCACUACGGUGCUGAAGUAACAAAUGCCCUGCUUCCAGGAAAAGCCUCUAAGCAUCAGGUAACAUCAAAUCGUACCCCAAACCGACACAGGUGGUCAGGUAGAGAAUACCAAGGCGCUUGAGAGAACUCGGGUGAAGGAACUAGGCAAAAUGGUGCCGUAACUUCGGGAGAAGGCACGCUGACACGUAGGUGAAGUGAUUUACUCACGGAGCUGAAGUCAGUCGAAGAUACCAGCUGGCUGCAACUGUUUAUUAAAAACACAGCACUGUGCAAACACGAAAGUGGACGUAUACGGUGUGACGCCUGCCCGGUGCCGGAAGGUUAAUUGAUGGGGUCAGCGCAAGCGAAGCUCCUGAUCGAAGCCCCGGUAAACGGCGGCCGUAACUAUAACGGUCCUAAGGUAGCGAAAUUCCUUGUCGGGUAAGUUCCGACCUGCACGAAUGGCGUAAUGAUGGCCAGGCUGUCUCCACCCGAGACUCAGUGAAAUUGAACUCGCUGUGAAGAUGCAGUGUACCCGCGGCAAGACGGAAAGACCCCGUGAACCUUUACUAUAGCUUGACACUGAACAUUGAGCCUUGAUGUGUAGGAUAGGUGGGAGGCUUUGAAGUGUGGACGCCAGUCUGCAUGGAGCCGACCUUGAAAUACCACCCUUUAAUGUUUGAUGUUCUAACGUGGACCCGUUACCCGGGUUGCGGACAGUGUCUGGUGGGUAGUUUGACUGGGGCGGUCUCCUCCUAAAGAGUAACGGAGGAGCACGAAGGUUGGCUAAUCCUGGUCGGACAUCAGGAGGUUAGUGCAAUGGCAUAAGCCAGCUUGACUGCGAGCGUGACGGCGCGAGCAGGUGCGAAAGCAGGUCAUAGUGAUCCGGUGGUUCUGAAUGGAAGGGCCAUCGCUCAACGGAUAAAAGGUACUCCGGGGAUAACAGGCUGAUACCGCCCAAGAGUUCAUAUCGACGGCGGUGUUUGGCACCUCGAUGUCGGCUCAUCACAUCCUGGGGCUGAAGUAGGUCCCAAGGGUAUGGCUGUUCGCCAUUUAAAGUGGUACGCGAGCUGGGUUUAGAACGUCGUGAGACAGUUCGGUCCCUAUCUGCCGUGGGCGCUGGAGAACUGAGGGGGGCUGCUCCUAGUACGAGAGGACCGGAGUGGACGCAUCACUGGUGUUCGGGUUGUCAUGCCAAUGGCACUGCCCGGUAGCUAAAUGCGGAAGAGAUAAGUGCUGAAAGCAUCUAAGCACGAAACUUGCCCCGAGAUGAGUUCUCCCUGAGACUUAAAGUCUCCUGAAGGAACGUUGAAGACGACGACGUUGAUAGGCCGGGUGUGUAAGCGCAGCGAUGCGUUGAGCUAACCGGUACUAAUGAACCGUGAGGCUUAACCCUACAACGCCGAAG